Myotis brandtii (Brandt's bat) is the source of this 103-nucleotide long non-coding RNA. RefSeq lists it as uncharacterized. The transcript is spliced from 3 exons. The record is from RefSeq and is a predicted model, not a curated record. NCBI's taxonomy places the organism in Eukaryota, Metazoa, Chordata, Mammalia, Chiroptera, Vespertilionidae.
AUCACUGAAAGAGUCAUCAAGGGAUCCUGACUUAGAAGCAUCUUGAAAAUCUUGGAAGUCGUCUUCUUCUGGUUUUACCACCUAGAAAUCGGACAGUCUUUUU